Molecule: ribosomal RNA, 487 nt
Filed under: uncultured bacterium
Lineage: Bacteria
Description: bacterial SSU rRNA
Rfam family: Bacterial small subunit ribosomal RNA
Source: RNAcentral
AGGGUUUGAUCAUGGCUCAGAACGAACGCUGGCGGCAGGCCUAACACAUGCAAGUCGAGCGAAGCCUUCGGGUUUAGCGGCGGACGGGUGAGUAACGCGUGGGAAUAUGCCCUUUGGUACGGAACAGUCCCGGGAAACUGGGUUUAAUACCGUAUGUGGUCCUUCGUAGUGGAUACGGGGGACGAAAGAUUUAUCGCCAAAGGAUUAGCCCGCGUUGGAUUAGGUAGUUGGUGGGGUAAUGGCCUACCAAGCCGACGAUCCAUAGCUGGUUUGAGAGGAUGAUCAGCCACACUGGGACUGAGACACGGCCCAGACUCCUACGGGAGGCAGCAGUGGGGAAUCUUAGACAAUGGGGGCAACCCUGAUCUAGCCAUGCCGCGUGAGUGAUGAAGGCCUUAGGGUUGUAAAGCUCUUUCAGCUGGGAAGAUAAUGACGGUACCAGCAGAAGAAGCCCCGGCUAACUCCGUGCCAGCCGCCGCGGUAAUUC